Molecule: non-coding RNA, 402 nt
Organism: Malus domestica (apple)
Lineage: Eukaryota; Viridiplantae; Streptophyta; Magnoliopsida; Rosales; Rosaceae
Source: RefSeq, a predicted model, not a curated record
GGCAAUGUUAGGCAAUGUUAGUCAAUGUCAAAGCUAGGCAAUGUUAGGCAAUGUUAGUCAAUGUCAAAGUUAGGCAAUGUUAGGCAAUGUUAGUCAAUGUCAAAGCUAGGCAAUGUUAGGCAAUGUUAGUCAAUGUCAAAGUUAGGCAAUGUUAGGUAUGGUACAAUUAAUGUGUUUUGUGUGGUAGUAAAUAAUCUUAGUUUAAUUAAGUAGCUUUCAUUUGGUUUGCUAUAAAUACCCAAGUCCCCAAGCCUUGUAAUUCAUCCAAGGAAAAACAAAGCCUAGAGCUAAAUAAGAAAAGCUUUGCUAAUUAGUUUGUUUUGUGAGCUUUCUUUAAGAGUGUGCUCUAUUUUUCUUCUUCUUGGGAUCAUUAGAGUUAUCUUGGAUACUCUUCUUAUUCAA